RNAcentral lists this ribosomal RNA (305 nucleotides) under uncultured bacterium. RNAcentral describes it as "bacterial SSU rRNA". It matches the Rfam family "Bacterial small subunit ribosomal RNA", at positions 337 to 640 of the family's 1533-position model. The record is from RNAcentral.
UCCUACGGGGCGCAGCAGUGAGGAAUAUUGGUCAAUGGACGAGAGUCUGAACCAGCCAAGUAGCGUGAAGGAUGACUGCCCUAUGGGUUGUAAACUUCUUUUAUAUGGGAAUAAAGUUUUCCACGUGUGGAAUUUUGUAUGUACCAUAUGAAUAAGGAUCGGCUAACUCCGUGCCAGCAGCCGCGGUAAUACGGAGGAUGCGAGCGUUAUCCGGAUUUAUUGGGUUUAAAGGGUGCGUAGGCGGGACCUUAAGUCCGCGGUAAAAUUGCGGUGCUCAACGCCGUAGAGCCGUUGAAACUGGGGUU